GACGAACGCUGGCGGCGCGCCUAACACAUGCAAGUCGAACGGAGUCAAGAGGAGCUUGCUUUUCUUGACUUAGUGGCGAACGGGUGAGUAACGCGUGAGUAACCUGCCCUGGAGUGGGGGACAACAGUUGGAAACGACUGCUAAUACCGCAUAAGCCCACGGAUCCGCAUGGAUCUGCGGGAAAAGGAUUUAUUCGCUUCAGGAUGGACUCGCGUCCAAUUAGCUAGUUGGUGAGGUAACGGCCCACCAAGGCGACGAUUGGUAGCCGGACUGAGAGGUUGAACGGCCACAUUGGGACUGAGACACGGCCCAGACUCCUACGGGAGGCAGCAGUGGGGGAUAUUGCACAAUGGGGGAAACCCUGAUGCAGCGACGCCGCGUGGAGGAAGAAGGUUUUCGGAUUGUAAACUCCUGUCGUUAGGGACGAUAAUGACGGUACCUAACAAGAAAGCACCGGCUAACUACGUG
RNAcentral lists this ribosomal RNA (468 nucleotides) under uncultured bacterium. RNAcentral's name for it is "partial 16S ribosomal RNA". It matches the Rfam family "Bacterial small subunit ribosomal RNA", at positions 28 to 507 of the family's 1533-position model. The record is from RNAcentral. RNAcentral also lists the same sequence under 1 other name.